UACGUAGGGUGCGAGCGUUAAUCGGAAUUACUGGGCGUAAAGUGUGCGCAGGCGGCCGCGCAAGUCGAGUGUGAAGGCCCCGGGCUUAACUUGGGAAUUGCGCUCGAAACUACGUGGCUAGAGUGUGGCAGAGGGAGGUGGAAUUCCACGUGUAGCGGUGAAAUGCGUAGAGAUGUGGAGGAACACCGAUGGCGAAGGCAGCCUCCUGGGCCAACACUGACGCUCAUGCACGAAAGCGUGGGGAGCAAACAGG
Molecule: ribosomal RNA, 253 nt
Filed under: uncultured bacterium
Lineage: Bacteria
Description: partial 16S ribosomal RNA
Rfam family: Bacterial small subunit ribosomal RNA
Source: RNAcentral